This 253-nucleotide ribosomal RNA is filed under the name uncultured bacterium. Its description in RNAcentral is "partial 16S ribosomal RNA". It matches the Rfam family "Bacterial small subunit ribosomal RNA", at positions 524 to 776 of the family's 1533-position model. The record is from RNAcentral.
UACGUAGGGUGCAAGCGUUACUCGGAAUUACUGGGCGUAAAGCGUGCGCAGGCGGUUGUGUAAGUUUGACGUGAAAUCCCCGGGCUUAACCUGGGAAUGGCGUUGAAGACUGCACGGCUAGAGUGUGUCAGAGGGGGGUAGAAUUCCACGUGUAGCAGUGAAAUGCGUAGAGAUGUGGAGGAAUACCGAUGGCGAAGGCAGCCCCCUGGGAUAACACUGACGCUCAUGCACGAAAGCGUGGGGAGCAAACAGG